CAGCCCCUCGAGUGGUGGGGAUGAUUAUUUGGCCUAAAGCGUCCGUAGCCGGCCGAGUAAGUCCCCCGUUAAAUCCAGCGUCUCAAGCGUUGGACUGCGGGAGUUACUACUUGGCUAGAGAGUGGGAGAGGUCAGCGGUAUUCUGGGGGUAGGGGCGAAAUCCUUUGAUCCCCGGAGGACCACCAGUGGCGAAGGCUGCUGACUAGAACACGUCUGACGGUCAGGGACGAAAGCUGGGGUAGCGAACCGGAUUAGAUACCCGAGUAGUCC
This 270-nucleotide ribosomal RNA is filed under the name uncultured archaeon. RNAcentral's name for it is "partial 16S ribosomal RNA". It matches the Rfam family "Archaeal small subunit ribosomal RNA", at positions 477 to 747 of the family's 1478-position model. The record is from RNAcentral.